CCUAUGAUGCACAACUCCAUUGGGCACUAUUUACAUUGUAAUGUAUGUAAAUGGCAUUUCCUGAAGCAGCAUUAAGAAGCUACAGAAUAUAUCUUCCAGCAGGACAGGCCUAUAUCUUUUUUUGGUUGACUCCAGCACCUAGCAAGUGUUUGACACACCAAUCAGGUUGGUUCCUGGAAGUAGAACUACUGUAUCAAAGAUCUGGACAUUUUUAAGACCCCAGAAAGGUAAUAUAGUAUAGUACUAUACAGUUUGGUUGGGGCUGUUCCUCCCUCAGAACUUCAUUACAUAAUUUAAAAGUGUUUACUUAAGCUCCUUUGGGCUGCCUCCAUGGUAGCUAUGAAGUCACAGAAUUAGGAAUAGUUUGGGGCCUGAUAACAAAGUCUAUUAGCUUAAUGCGAAUACUGUGUCAAUUUUUUUUAAUCAGU
Leptonychotes weddellii (Weddell seal) is the source of this 428-nucleotide non-coding RNA. The record is from RefSeq and is a predicted model, not a curated record. NCBI's taxonomy places the organism in Eukaryota, Metazoa, Chordata, Mammalia, Carnivora, Phocidae.